RNAcentral lists this long non-coding RNA (2252 nucleotides) under Amborella trichopoda. RNAcentral's name for it is "long non-coding RNA (ATRI_LNC000769)". Lineage: Eukaryota; Viridiplantae; Streptophyta; Magnoliopsida; Amborellales; Amborellaceae. The record is from RNAcentral.
AACAGUGUAUAGUAUCACAAUUUGAACGAUUGUAUGCUACCAACAAAAAGCAUUUUGAUUACCGAUAAUAACUUCAGGCACAAACCCAUAACCUGGUGGUUUGAAUGUCUAAUUUAGAACUUGAAAAAAUGUGGAUGUAUAUUGCCCAUUUCAGCUCAAGAUGCCAUUUCAAAUUCACCAGGAUAUGUGAUGAAAACAACACAGAAACCCAACCUUGACUGGCUUCUAACAUGCUCUAUUGGUCAAACAUAAAUAAAUUGAAAGAAAAUACCCAACAAUUAAAAACUACUCAAAAAGCAAAUAACCUUUAUAUCAGUCAAUGUUGAAACUGGUUACAUACUCAAAUCUGAUGAGAGUAAACUUGUUACAUACUAUCUAGUUAUAUCAAACACUUUUCAACAAAUGUAAUACAAACAUAAAAGCACUCCCUAUAAACAAGAAAACUAAAAACUGUUGCAUACACCCUAAAGCAAUGGUUCAAAAGCGGAUAAGUGACCCGGAUCAAGCACCUCAAAAACCGAUCCGGAUCGGGGAAUCGGCGAUCCGAAUUGGGAAUUGGUAGGAUUAAAGCUUUAAAAAAAUCUGAAAAAAUUAUUAAAAUUCAUUCAAUAAGAAAUGAGGGUCCUACAUUAUUAACUUUCAUUUUUUUCAUCAAUUUGUGAAUAUUGAGAUGCUAUUUCCCUGUAUAAACUUAAGUAUUAAAUUUGCAUCACAUAAAAGAAAAAUCAUAGAAUUAUCAUGGAUAAAAUAUAUAAUUAUACAUAGACUAUAAUAAAGAGUAAACUAAAUCAAUGAAAGAAUGGCCAUUAAAAUCUCGUUUUGGCAAAAAACCCUAAUCCGCUAAAAAAACCCAAAUUAUUACAGCCUAACUAACUAUAAUCCAAAAUUAUUACAACCUAACUAAUUAUAAUAUUAUAUACUGAAAUUAUAAUUAUUAGUUUACAUUUUAUAAUUUUUUUAUUAGAUAAAUAAUAACAAAUUAAAAAUAUUUUAUAAUGUUAUCUAAUUUAAAAUGUAUUAUUGACAACUGUAAGAAAAAUAGUACAUUACAUGAUUUAUAAUGUAAAAAUUAAUAAAUAAAAUAAAAGAUUUGGUUAUCAAUGUAAAAAUUAAUAAAAUGUGUACAAAUUUUGAAAAUAACAAUUUAAUUUAUUAUAUGCCCAAGGGGGAACAAAAAUUAGCUCAAGAAGGGAUAAACUAUUAUAUGGCCCAAUGGGGGAUUCGAACUUGAAAAGUCAAAGCAAAUAACAUUAGUGAUAACCAUCAUGCCUCCUUAUUGUAUGUGUUUAAAAUUGCCUAUUAAUAGCAUAUAUUUACAUUCUGUUUUCAUUUAAUAAUAUUUGGGAAUUAUCCAACAUCAAAGGAUGAGUAUUCAAAUAUGCUAUAUAAAUAACUAUGUAAUUAGAAGAUAAACACAAGUGUGAAAACAUUAGGGCAUCGGUGUGCAUGUCGCACGUGUGGCACAUGUGGGAGUGGUGUGUGUCGCACGUGUGAUGCGUACACAAGUGUGAAAGUGUUUUUGAGGCCUGAACCGGCUAGAACGAUGCACACGAGCAUGUGCGUGUCACAUGUAUGGCACGUAUGGGAGUGUGUGUGGCACAUGUGGGAGUGUGUACCACUCGUGUCACACGUGUGGGAGUGGUGCAUGUCGCACGCGUGGCGCGUACACACGUGUGAAGGUGGUUUUGAAGCUAGAACCAGGAGAGAACUGGCUAGAACAGGGAGGGAACCGGACAGAACCGGGUGGGAACCGACGGUUCUGCUCUAGAACCGGGAGGUUCCCGGUUUUGUGCUGGAACCGGCACGGGAUGUGUCAAUUCCCGAGUCGAACCGGACGAGUCCGGUUCAACUCGCCGAUUUUUAAAUCAUUGCUCUAAAGCAAAACCACCGGUUCUCACCUGGUUCUAGCUAGCCUCAAAAGCACCUUCACACGUGUGUACGCGUCACGCUUGCAAUAUGCACCACUCCCACAUGUGACACGAGCGGUACACACUCCCACACGUGCCAUACGUGCGACACGCACAUGCAUGCGUGCAUCGAUUCUAGCCGGUUCAGGCCUCAAAAACACUUUCACACGUGUGUACCCGUCACACGUGUGACACACACCACUCCCACAUGUGCCACACGUGCGACACGCACAUGCACGGAUGCCCUAGUGUUUUCACACUUGUGUUUAUCUUCCAAUUACAUAGUUAUUUAUAUAGCAUAUUUGAAUACUCAUCCUUCGAUGUGGGAUAAUUCCCAAACAUCAU